GAGUUUUUUUAUAUUCUGGUUCUUGAUCUCUAUGCCCCCGUUUGGUUCGGGGUUAAGAAAAAGUAGCUAUUACAGGAAUAGGGUUAAGUUCAGGAUUAAAAUGGUGUUAAAAUUUUUUUGUGUUUGGUUGGAGGUUGGAGUUAGUCUAGGAUAGUGAAAAAAAAUGUUUGGUUGGAAUAGAUGGAUAAGAAGAUAAUGAUUGAUAAAGAAGAAAAAGGUGAGAGCUCGAAAUGCGUGCGGGGUUAAAGUUGGGAGGGGGAGUGGGGUUAAUGAUUGAUAAAGAAAAAAAAGGUAAGGGCUUGGGAUGCGUGCGAGGUUAAAGUUGGGAGGGGGAGUAGGAUUAGUAAACCUCACUAACCCGGUUUGGGGUGGGAUUUACUAACCCCACCCCAAAAAAGUGAUGUUUGGGUAUAAAUUGGGGGUUAAGGGGUUAUUCCACCCCUUAA
RNAcentral lists this long non-coding RNA (446 nucleotides) under Ananas comosus (pineapple). Its description in RNAcentral is "long non-coding RNA (ACOM_LNC018680)". Lineage: Eukaryota; Viridiplantae; Streptophyta; Magnoliopsida; Poales; Bromeliaceae. The record is from RNAcentral.